Molecule: ribosomal RNA, 218 nt
Filed under: Glomus sp.
Lineage: Eukaryota; Fungi; Glomeromycota; Glomeromycetes; Glomerales; Glomeraceae
Description: partial small subunit ribosomal RNA
Rfam family: Eukaryotic small subunit ribosomal RNA (bases 47-218)
Source: RNAcentral
GGAUCAAUAUGUCGGUCGUGCCAUCGGUACGUACUGGUAUCAUUGGUUUCUCCUUUCUGACGAACCAUGAUGUCAUUAAUUUGGUGUUAUGGGGAGUUAGGACUGUUACUUUGAAAAAAUUAGAGUGUUUAAAGCAGGCUUUAGCUUGAAUACAUUAGCAUGGAAUAAUGAAAUAGGACGUUCGAACCUAUUUUGUUGGUUUCUAGGAUCAACGUAAU